CUCACAUCUGGCGUCUACAACAUCUCCAUGUGUGAGGAAGACAAGAAACUUAAAGCAUUUACCACACCUCUAGGGCUCUACGAGUUCAAUCGUCUUCCGCAGGGACUAUGCAACAGCCCAGCUAGUUUCAUGCGGCUUAUGAUGAGUAUAUUUGGUGACCAAAACUUCGUUACCCUGCUGUAUUACUUGGAUGAUCUCCUAGUGGUAGCUCCCAAUGAAGAAAAGGCCCUGGAGAGGUUGGAGAUGGUCCUCGAGAGAUUGAGUGCUCAUGGGUUGAAGUUGGCGCCUAAGAAAUGCUACUUCCUAGGCGGAGCGUCAGGUUCCUUGGCCAUGUUGUGAAUGAGAAUGGAAUCGCGACUGAUCCCGACAAAAUUGCAGCCAUUACGUCCGUCACUGAAAUGGAUGAUGGGGUCUCACCUUCCCAAAGAAAGAUCAAGUCCUUUUUGGGUAUGGUCAUGUAUUACCAACGGUUCAUCCCUAACUUUUCUAGCAUCGCUAAACCACUCUUCAUGCUAACCGCCACAGCCAAAAAGAAAAAGGGCUACUCAAAGGGUGGCGCUGCUUUCAGGAAACUCGGCCCGUUAGAUUGGACAAGAAAAUGUGUUCUAUCCUUUUAACAGCUUAAGUCGGCUCUUGUGAACUCUGUAGUGUUGGCGCACCCUGAUUUCACCUGGCCAUUUAUCCUCUCUACAGAUGCCUCCUUGGAUGGUAUAGGGACUGUAUUAUCACAAGUCCCUGAAGGAGAGUCCAAGGCAUGGCCCAUUGCCUUUGCAAGUAAGGCACUUACGCGAGCUCAUUCCAACUACCCUGUGCACUGUCUUGAGUUUCUGGCGUUGAAAUGGUCUGUCUGGGACACCCUUUCACAGUCUGGAUGGACAAUAAUCCGUUGACCUAUAUUUUAACGAAGCCGAAACUAGACGCGUGCGAACAGAGGUGGGUAGCUAAGUUGGCCCCGUACUCUUUUGAUAUCCAGUACAUACCUGGCACCAAAAAUGUGGUUGCCGAUGCUCUGAGCCAUAAGCCGUUUGUUUCCAGUCAAAGACUGAGUCAGAGACUAGUGGCAGAGCCUUACAACCUUUUACUUGAACAGUCUGAACAGAUAAGAGAAGACACAGUACAGGAUUCCUUUAGGCUCCGUGCAAAUAGCCAGUGUGUUGGACAUUCAUUGGAGAAAAGUUCCUUGUCUUCUGAUCAGGUCUCUGCUAUCUUUGAAGCUCAUGCUAAGUAGGAAGUGGGAGCAGAGGGGAGAGUCAUUUCCUGGCUUGCUCAAGAAACCAAACGGAUGAUGCCUGCUGGUCAGAACCCCUUACCCAUCUACUCAAUGGAGGAGCUUCGAGAGAGGCAAGAAGGUGACCACGUGCUUUCAAGAGUUCUCUUCUAUGUGUGCUGAGGUAAGAGACCAUCUCUGAGAGAAAGAGCUAAGGAACCUUACAAGGCCUUGAAACUGUUGAAGCAAUGGGACAGAUUAAAGCUGUUGGAUGGCAUACUGUACCAUGUCUGCAAGGAUCCAGUGACUGUUUACACGUUACCAGUUCAUAGUUCCCCACUGGUCAGUGAAGUCUUGCGUGGCAUCCAUGACGAGGCAAGCCAUCAAGGUCAAGGAAGAACAUUUUCUUUGGCUAGACAGAGAUUUUAAUGGGUUGGUUUGGAGAGUGACACCUGAGAGUAUGUGAGACGCUGUCAACGUUGUGUGGUCAGUAAAACCCCUGAACCAGAGGGGAGAGCCCAUUUAGAAAGCAUCUGAACUGUCAGUCCAUUAGAAUUAGUCUGUAUAGACUUCUGGUCUGCCGAGGAUUCUUCUGGCAAGAGCAUUGAUGUACUUGUGGUAACGGACCACUUUACGAGUUUGGCAAAUGCGUUUCCCUGCAAGAACCAGUCAGCAUCCCAAGUCGCUCGUCACUUAUGGGGUAAGUUCUUUUGUGUUUAUGGAUUUCCACAAAGAAUCCACUCAGACCAAGGAGCGAACUUUGAAAGCAGGUUGAUCAAGGAACUAUUGCAGAUUGCUGGCAAACAGAAGUCACGAAUCACGGCAUAUCACCUGAUGGGUAAUGGCCAAGUCGAGAGGUUCAAUCGCACCUUGGGUAAUAUGAUCAGGGCAUUACCUCCAAGAGCCAAACAGGACUGGCCGCAAAUGCUGGAAACCCUGACAUUCGCUUACAACUGUACUGCCCAUGAGUCAACUGGCUUUGCCCUGUUUUUCCUCAUGUAUGGUCGGAUUCCCAGAUUGCCUGUCGAUUUGAUGUUCCAGAGCGUGGAUCGGGAUAACGACGUCACGGACUAUGACCAGUAUGUAAGGAAAAUGAAGGACGUUCUCAAUUAAGUUAUGUUACUUGCUCAGGCCAACAACACUGUGAGUCAACAACGACAAACUGAGCAUUACAACAAAGACGUCAAAGGCCGAGACAUUGAGGAAGGAAACUAUGUAUUGCUCGCCAACAAAGGAGAGCGUGGAUGGUGCAAAUUAGCUGACAAAUGGGACUCAACCUUGCAUGUUGUGGUGUCUGUGGAUACAAGAUGUCAUACCAUGUAAGGAACUCCAGGACCAAUCAGGAGAAGGUGGUUCACAUGAACUUGUUGUUGCGAGCAAAUUUCUUGCCUGUUGACGAGAGGGAGGACUGUGUAGAUCCGGCCUUCGAUGACUUCAAGUCGGACUGUGAGACUGACGACUCCAUGAUCGACACUACUUUAAAUGAAUUAGAGGAUGCUGGUAAUGAGAUUGAUGAACUACUCCAUUCUCCAGCUUAUCUAUCGAGUCCAUCAAUGGAAGAGGAAACCAGUGAUCCAAGUUCUGGACCAGGAUCGGAGCAUGUCGAGAGAGAGUUCAGAGUUCUGAACCUGACCCUUCUGAUAUGAAUGUUGAGGAAGUUGAACAUGACAUGGAAGAGUCAAUACCACCUGACAGAGUUCCUGGAGAGGUGGUUCAGCCUUUGUCUGAAAUAGCUCACACAGUCAGAACAAGGGCUGGCAGAUUGGUAAAACCAGUUAAUAGACUGAUUCAAAUUAUGACCCAGACUACCUUACUGCGUAGCCCUUCCCUCAGCCUUCUAAGGUCAAAAGCUUCUUAAGUGGGAGUUAUGAGUUCCCUGUCAGUGUUAUUCAUCUGGGGUACAACAUAAGUGGUGAUCAUUUUGAGUAUCUGUGAAGUAGUGUUUAUGGCACUUCUUUUUGCGGGCAGACACUUGAGAGUCUGGCCAACUUUCUUUUGUCGCUCACCCAGUGAGAUGGGUAACAUAUGUUGCGUGCAGAUACUGUGAUUUUGUCAAAGUGUGAUCACAUCCCCAGUGUAAUUUAGUCACUAGUGUUUGACUAGUUUUGUGAAGUUUAGGGGGGUGAAUGUAGCCUGUUGGGAAGAGUGAAAUAUUAAUUGUAUUUUAUUUCUAUGUAAUGAACUUCCCAAAACUAUUUUUCCAUGAGUUAAAGACAUUUGGUUUCAUUAUGUAUUAAAUACCUAUACGGGUCAUGCAAUGUUAUUGUUGUUAGGAACUAUCAAUUAAGGUGUUUUGUUCAAGUGGGACGCUUAUCGGUGUUGCGUGCUAUGCCUUUGGGGAGCGCAUGAAUUACUUUCGCCUCAGACCGCAAAUGGACGCUGGCGAGGCAAGAAGCACAUUUUCUCCUUCUCUUCUUUCAGUCACUAUUGGUAUGUUUAAAAGUAUUAAUUCGGUUAAAGUUCAUUAAAUAUCAAACAGAAUGUGUUCUGAGUCAAGUAUACAAAUGUAUUUUUGUGUAUUGGUUACUUUGUGAGUUUUAUGUGACUUUUGUCUGACGCACGUGGAGCUAACUAACUAGUGGUUUGUGCAGUGUUUAACGUGGGAAGAAGUUAGCGCAACGGAUGUUUCUCUGAUCAAGUGUCCCAUAUGUUUCCAGGGUCAAUAAAUGGAGGUGUUUUGAAGCUAUCCUGCUGUCUCCGGUCUGAAAUUCUUAUGUGCAGAACAGGAUCUGCUACAUAAAACUGGUGCCGUGACCUUCUUCGAUACAACUGAUCAGCCACAGCCGAUCACCGGGUGUUGUCCGUCUACGUGGAACUGUUGCUGUGACUCACCUGGAUUUAGCAAGCCGACUGCAGUCGUCUGCCAGGUGUCUUGCUGUGGAUCGAGUCCUGCCUUCCAGUGUCAGCUAAUGAACUUUCCUCAUUUCAGUUACAUUCAGUUUUCUCUUACAUUCUUAAGACAUUGACUUUUGAAUCAGACAUAGAAUCAUUUAAGACAUUGAAUCAAUUUAUUUUGUUAUAUGCAAGUGACCAGUACGGACAUUAAGAUAUACAACAUAUCUAUGCCAGUAUUGGGGAAGGGUAGAGGUUUCAUCAGUUCAGAUGGUGUUGUGAGAUGUAAAGAAAAUGAUCAAAUUUGUGGUGUCAAUUUGGGCUUUUCACAAAUGGGGGGAAAAGUCAACUCUGGUGCUUCAUCUUUUGCACCUGUGUUUUGAAGCUAUCCGGCUGUCUCCGAUUUGAAAUUUCUUAUGUGCAGAACUGGAUCUGCUACACUUCUAAAUCACUUGCACCUUUAUUAGCAACUGACACAUAAGUGCCAGCUUUACAUGUCAUACAUUCUGCUUCCCGCGGAUCUCGACCUGGACGAAAGCAUGGGAAUUUUUUGUGCAAAUCUUCUAUAAAUUUGCACUUUCAUUUGGGCAUUGUUUCCACUCAGCUGUCAUUUGCUGCUACUGUCAAGCAACUGUUUGAUGCCGAACACAACAGCACUUCACGCAUUCACGGAGAGAUUGACUGGCAGGAAUUUGGCCAAUAGUUGCUGCAAGCCUCUUAUAAUCGACCAAUUAGUGUGUGAGAAGGCGGGACUUACAAAGAGGGGUUAAAGCAAUGCAAAUAUGCAUGCACACACAAUGAAGUAUUAGACCAGAUGCACAUCAUAAUGCAACUAAAGCCAAAUUGAAAAUUUUCGCAAAUUUAGAAAUCCUGGCUGGAUGCUUCUUUAAGGUCCGAAAAAGAGGACAUGUCCAGAAAAAAAGAGUACGUAUGGUCACCCUAUCUUAUCUAUCAUAAUCAAUCAUUAUAAACAUCUAAAAACCACAUUAUAUGUUUGAUAAUAUACAGUAUAAUUGGACCUUCAGUGCACCUUCUGUGAUAUAAUCUGUCCUCCAGUGCAUCUGCUAAGAAGCGUAAAUUAAGAUUUAAUUUUUUUUUUUUAAAUACAGCGUACAUUAAAGAACUCACGCUGGGAGAUCCGUCAGUACAGGAGAAACUUGUGUGCGAAAUGUUAAAGGAAUGUUCCAGGUUCAGUACAAGCUAAGCUCAGUCAGCAGCAUUUGUGGCAUAAUGUUGAUUACCACAAAAAUUAACUUGUUCCUCCUUUUCUUUAAAAAUGUUUUUUUUUUUUUUUUAAUCGAGGUUAGAGUGAGACACUUACAGUGGAAGUGAAUGGGGACAAUGAAAGUGAAUUGGGCCAAAUUUGGAGGGUUUCAAACACAGAAAUAUGAAGCUUAUAAUUUUAUAAAAGCACUUACAUUAAUUCUUCUGUGAAAACUCAUGUAUUAUUUGAGCUGUAAAGUUGUUUAAAUUUUACUUUUUAUAGUCGUUUUAGGGUUUGUUGACAUUAUAUCGUCAUGGUAACGAGGUUGUAAAAUUGACAAUAUCUACACUGAAAAGGUUAGUAAGCAAUUUUAUCACACCAAAAUCAUGUUUACACGCAUAUUGUUUAUGUCUUGUGGCUAUACUUUUGAAACAGUGAGUAUUUUAACGUUAAAAAAUUGGACACACUUGUAAGUAAACUUGUAAGACAUUGUAAGUCACUAACUGUAACUCAGAUUUGUGCUUUUUUUAAAGAAAAGGAGGAACGAGUCCAAAUUAAUUUUUGUGGUAAUCAACAUUAUGCCACAAAUGCUGUCAAUUGAGCUUAACUUGUAUUGAACCCGGAACAUUCCUUUAAGUGUUUUUAUCUAGGGCCCUACUGAAAUCUGUUUUAAUUUUUGUAAUUAUUUUUCCAGAAUUCCAUGUUUUAAAGUUUAAUUUUAUUUCAUCAUCAAAAUGGUGUGUAAUCAAAUUAAUUACUUUUAAAACUUUUAACAAGUAAAAAGUUACAACAAUUACUUUUCAACAUUCCAAUGCAAUUUUGUUUGCACAUUAUUUUACAGGACGUAUACUUUCAGUAUAGACUAUUUCAAGAAUGUAAACAAAAACAAAGGAAUUACAACGGUCCAAAUAUAUUUCCAGAUCCUUUCAACAAAGUCUCUUUUUCAAGGAAAGUCAGUCCACUCGGCGGCCAUCUUUGGAACGCUCUUGGGCAGUUUGGGCAGCUAUUUUCAAUGUAAACAAGCAUCAUGAAUGUGCUGCUCAUAUCUACUUGAGUGGGGAAAGACCAAAAUCUCCAAAACGGUUGGUCAAGAUUACGAUAAAAGAUAUUUCAAAUAAGCAGUAAAAUCUGACAACACUGUGUGGCAGGGUGAGCAAGAGACAGCACAGUGGGUGUAGUGUCAGGCCUCGGAGAGGCAUUUAUUUAAAAUGAGUGGUCUGGCUUCCCUGGGCCUCAGCACUCGAGGGGAAUAGUAGCCCGGCAUCCUGGCCUGUCGGCCACGACGCAUGCUCCAAUCCCCGGCAUCGCAUCUAGCUCACAAGGAAACAUGAAAUACGUGGAAAUGUCACCUCGGGCGAUGUUGAUCCACUGGAGGGGCGUGUCAUUUCGUCACAACUGGUAUAAUAAAUUGUGCAUCUUUAACUCAGAUUACGCUAAAAAACGCAAUUUUACCGUCUUGUGUAGCUAAUGCACAUGGCGUUCUCGAGUUGAUUGACAGGCAAUUUUUGUAUCUGUAAGGUGAUUGGCUAUUUUACCUGUAAGGCGGGACUUCCUUUCUACAUCCGUUUUACCGUUGGCUGCCGCCCAUCCAUUUUAAUAGAAGUGGCCUGUCUCUGCUUAAUACCCAGCAAACACAAAAUGUUGCAGUUAGGUAAUGUUGCAGUAUAACGUUUUAAAAACAUCCCAGAAACAACACCUGAAUAACACAAGCAAAAUAAAACGUUUUAAAAAUGUUGUGAAAGUACCAACCUUGAAUGUUUUCUUUAAGUAGACAAAAAACGUAAAUAUAAUCUGUUUUUAAUAUGAAAAUUUAACCAGACCAAAAUGCAAAUUUUGUGGGACAUUUUAUUUAGGUGUUAAAAUAACGUAAUUUGUACGUUUGAAUAUAACAUUUAAAAUGUGUCAUAAAAUACAAAAAUACAACCAGACAAAAUUACAACAUUUGUAGGCCGUUUUAUUUAGGUGUUAAAAUAAUGUCAUUUGUAAUAAUUGAAAUAAGACAAUAAAAUACGUCAUGAAAAUACCAAAUAAAAACCAGGCCAACUUAAACCA
Myxocyprinus asiaticus (Chinese sucker) is the source of this 7295-nucleotide long non-coding RNA. RefSeq lists it as uncharacterized. Lineage: Eukaryota; Metazoa; Chordata; Actinopteri; Cypriniformes; Catostomidae. The record is from RefSeq and is a predicted model, not a curated record. The transcript is spliced from 2 exons.